AUUUGCUACGCCUAGAUGAUUUCCUUUGAAACACGCGCUAACUAAAGAUGAGCUCUUAUUUAGAAAUCUGACAAAAGUUUUGGUCAGUAACAGAGUUAAACCAAAAGGUCCAUAUUGGGCAAGAUUUGAACUCAGAGUUUGGACAAAUGUUUCAGACUGACGUUUCUGACUGGAAGCAUUUAUCUAAACAGAGCACAAGGAAUAUGAAGAUACUGUACUGAAGUGUUGGAACCAGUUCAUCCAAGAAUAAGGCAAUGUCUGGAAGAAGAGAAAGGACCCAGCAGUAGAUGUGCAUUGCCCUGGAGCUCACUACUCUGAGGACUCAUUUCACUGAAUGCUAACUUGUUCCUCCCUCCUACACUUUUUCCACCAUUAUCAAACGGAGUUGCAAGAAAGGAGAAGAACUGCAGAAAUGAGACAAGAUUCUAGAACAAUUUUGCAAUUCGUUCAAGACCUGAAUGUUACUGAAACAGAAGCACAAAUUCUCCUGAGAUGAAUUUCAGCAGUAUUAACAGCACAUCCAAAACAAAUGUGUUGCUUCAAGAAACAGCUGAGCUGCAACAGAUAAAGAGUUGCUCUAAUAUUUAAUUUUCAUACAUAAUUUAUAUGACAAGAAAGAAUAAUUUAUCAUCUAAAUCAGUCUGGUAGUAUAAUAAUCUUACUCAUUUCAAAUUCACUAAUUAGACGAUAUCUAGUAGUUAACUGCUACUUCUUGGAUGUUUUAUAUUUUCAUUAAUAACUGUCCAGGGUACCUUCAACGCAACUCCUUUUAUUUCAAUUUUUCCCCAACAACCCAAAUACUUACAUAUAUUAGAGUUCUACUCCAUAUUUUCUCUGUUGGUGGGGAGGAACAACUUUAUAUAGAAAAUCCUACUUACAUGGCACUGACAUAUAAAAUCUACUCUUUACUGAUGUCAUUAAGCAGCUGGUAUCUUCCAUGUACAUGGCUUCUCUAAUACUGGCAAAUAGUUAUUGGUAAUUGAAGUCAUAAAGUUGUUCUAAAUUUCCAGCAGUUUAUACAACCUUCCUUUUGUGUAGCUGGCAGAAACAGGUUUGAGAAUAAACUCUAACAGCAACGAAAAAUGUAAACAGAGAGCAUCAGAUAAACGUAGGAUUGUUUAUCGGAAGAUGUCCAUGUUUGUUAAAAUCAUCAAGUUGAUUACCAAAUGCUGAAUCCUACUAGGACUUUUUUUUUUUUUAAAUAACUGGGAGAUAUGACCACAAAACAUAUUUGACAAAAUUAUCCAGUAAGAAACGAUAUUGUUAUUAAAGGAUAUACACUAUACAGCAUAAAAAAUGAGAAGUAGAUUUGAAAUAACCAUCUGACAUACUGACCUUUUGUAAAACUGUUGAACAUUAACAACAGUCAAAGUGGUAGUUUGUUUGACUUUCACACAGUAUCUAAGCCUUGGCAGGGAAACACAAGACAAGGCCUCAUCUUCUGCAGUGAAAUUAUUUCCUGCUCUCAGGCAUAUAACACAAAUAGUGAAUUCCAGUAUAGUUUCUACCAAUCUGGUUGUAAGCUGAAUCUCACUUAUUUCAAAUGGAAAGCCUACAGUUUGAAAGCACAGCAUAGCUUCAGGCAUUCUUACUAUAUGAUUUGAUUCUUUGCAGAGAAAAAAUUCUUAUCUGAUAAGCCACAUUGCUUUCUUUGCCUGUUUCAAAAGGACACUGACUUUUACCCCCUCAAGUAUAUUCCCUGUAUUAACAUGAUUGUCCUUUCCAAAAUGCACAUACUUGGAAACAAGUAACCUCUCAGCACUCUCUUCCUGAUGAAAGCUUAAGAUGUCCACAAGCGCUGAAAUUGAGUUUACAUACCUUUGCAGAGAGGAACCCUCUGUUCCAUCAUUACCACAAAACCUAUGUAAAAAGGGCAUUUGACAGUGCGUGAUCCCCCAGAAAUACCUCUAGAACAGACUGUACAGAUUUAAUGUUAUGCUGGACAUCUACAUGCAAGUGGCAAUUAGAGCAUAAAAUAAUAGGAAAGAGUACUUCAAGGAAUAUCUCUUAUAAACAUACUAUUUUUACAUAGCCUCAGAAUAGUCAGUGAAAGAGAUAGUAACACCAUUGGUUAGAAAAUUGAAACACUAUGCAUGAGUGCAUGCUGUUCUCUUUGGAAUUUCAGUCUUUUAUUGCGAUCUAUUCAAAAUCUUUCACUGAUUCUGAAUAAAUCCUUCAGUUCUUCUUCAUACAGUUCUAAUGAUGCAUCUCUCCUUAAGAUAUUUUUCCAUCUCUUUUCCUUUCAAAGGCUACCUUAAUAGAACGCUUGACCAGCAAUGGAUGGGGUUCUGAGUUUUUCUUAGGAUUCAUUUAUGACUCCUUUCCAUUGUCUAGACAGCCUAGCCAUUCGCAUUACCAUUGUAGAUUCUGCGAGUACUUAAACUAAGAAGUAUCCUCUCUCGCAGCUUGCCCAAGUGUUUAAUCAUGCUCUCUUCUAUCUUUUUUGCCUCCCCAGUAAUAUUAAAAUGCACUGCCCUUCUCUCGGUCAGAUGGUGCUGAGUCACCAAUACCUUUAAACUAAUACAUACAUGCUGCAGUCGAAGAGAAAAAAAUUACCAUUAGCUUUUAGAGGGUCUUGCUCAUGAUGGGCCAUAAGUUUCUUCCUGGUUCUGGACUUUAUUGAACAGCCUGUGAGAGUCUCAGCUCAUAAAUCAGUAGCAGUGAUAUUGAAAUACCACUGCUGCUUCACAGCGUCUGGGUGGUCACAGUCAGACUCUCUCCACCCGCUCAGUAUAUUGGUAACCAGCAUUUGGCCCUCAAAAUAGUAGUGGCUGGUUUUUGAACAAAUAUUUCCAUGUCUAGUAGGGGACCUUGUUUUUCAGCUAGAUGUGCGAGGAACAGAGUGUGAUCCUGGCGUUGUCAUUCAGCCUUAAAAUGUAUCUCAAGCAGUAAAAAACAUGGAAGCAGAAGCUUCCCAUUCAUCAUUUGUUACUCAGACUGAAUCCUAGCUGGCUGCCUCAAAGCCCCAUGAUAGUCAGAUAUUCCUAUGGAAAUGGAAACCUCUGAUGACAUAGAAAAGUUGUCUGGCUCUGAUGUGUGGAUGUGAUAGGCAACUGUGCUUUCACUGCAGUACUUUGAAAAUGCUUUUUCCUCAUAGUUAUGACAAUGUUGGCAAAAUCACUUUAAAUUGUCACUGUUUCACUAACCCUCGGAGCUACUGAGUAUUACUUGCAAUAUGCUUAACUCAACUUUUAGACAUCUGGAAGGCUGCAGUUUUCCUUCUCACACUUUCCAUUGGGCUAACAUAGCCCAGGGAAAUCUGCCUCAAGUGUUGAUCUGCAAAUAAAAUAAAGGCUUUUUCUACUUCUUUAUAAUUCCAAAAACUAUUCUUCUGUACAACAGCAUAGUGUUUGUGGAGCCUUUACAAAAAGAAACAAAUCCACAGAGAUGUCAUGAGUCUAUGGCACAACUCAGCUACAACCACCAUAAAUCAUGAUACAAUUUUUCCAGAUCAGUAUUUUCUGCAGGCACAUUUCAUGUAAAAUCCUGUUUGUCCAAAAGAACCACUCCAGCUUGCCCUUUUAAUUAGCUGAAGUUGCUCCUUAAGAUCAAAGACACAUAAAUGAUCGGUAAGGGGCAAUUAUAGCCGUUGCAGACAAAAUGAGGAUUAUUAGUUUCCACUAACCCUUUGACAGCCUGGCUUGAUUGUCUAACCACAGUGUUCUCAAAAUCUUUGGAAAGAAUACAAGUUUCCUGGGGUAGAACAUCAGAAGUGGUUACACAAAACUCAGGGCAAUGGACACGAGGUUCAAUUGAAAAAUGAAUUGAGUGCUAUUACGAGGCUCUAUGCAUACACUGCUGUUAGCUCUCCUCAACUUUCAGCAAUUUCUGCAGUAAAAUAUGGUUGUGAGGUUUUCAUUUCAAGUAAUUUUCAUGUCAAGUAAUUAAGCACUCAACAAAGAAUUACCUUUAUAAUGCAAAAUUUCUUAAGAACGUUUCUCAGAAGAGUACUUCAGUGUUGUUGGCAUUAUAGAACAUUAAAAAAUACAAUGUUUAUCAAGAAACAAUGGCUUAAUGCAACAUCUUCUGAUAAUCAUGUAUGUAGGGUGCUCUAUGACAUGUCACGAAUUUCAACGUAAAACAUCUAAAACGUAAUGACUUGAGAAACUCCUUGACACCUCUGCUUACUCAACUACACUAUACAGAGAUAAAUGUGCAUAUGUUACUUAAAACUGAACAGAAUUCAUGCCAUUUAUUAAAUAAAAAA
Gallus gallus (chicken) is the source of this 4207-nucleotide long non-coding RNA. The record is from Ensembl. NCBI's taxonomy places the organism in Eukaryota, Metazoa, Chordata, Aves, Galliformes, Phasianidae.